UUUGACAGUACAGUAUGUAGUCUAUAGGAUGUUUGAGGGGAGGAUAGUGAUACAUUUUUACUUUACAGCGCAUUAGUUGCCAUAAACAUGUUUUAUGCACUUUAGCUUUUUUCAAUAGUCAUUGGUCUAGCCAGAUGUUGCUCUUCUCAUGUGUUCUCUUUUCAGCUUUUUUAGGAAACAGUUUUGGUUUUUCAAUAAACCCUGCUACUACUGAAGAGCUUGUUCAGGAAGAAAGGAAUGUCAAUCUCUCCUGCAAAUAUGAUGGCAAUGUCUACAAUCUCCAGUGGUACCGCCAAUAUCCCAGGUCCAAACCAGAAUUCCUCCUGUACAUCACACCAGAGGGGUCUAUAUUUAAAGCUACUCCCCCACCUCCUCGUCUGACAGUUUCCAUUGACAAAGUGGAAAAACGUGUGGAUCUGAAGAUCUCCUAUGCUGUAGUGACAGACUCUGCUCUGUACUACUGUGCCCUGACGCCCACAGUGACAGGAAACCCAGAAAUACUGUACAAAAACAUGUCAAGUGCCAUGGAAAGAAACCAAUGAGAAGGGGAGGAGCUGCAUCUAGGCAAGAGACGAGUAAAUAUUCAGAGAUAGCCAAGAUUAUGUUUCUGUAUGCAGUGCUGCUGCUCUGCACAUGUGUAGAUGACAGUUUAGAGAAUGAUAUCGCUCCUUUAAGAAAUGAAGUGCAUGGCUUGGAGGGAACCACUGUCAUCGUGUCCUACAACUACUCCUCAACUUCUACAAUUGGAAAUAGAUUCUACUGGUAUCAUCAAACCAGUGCUGGGAAAAUGACAAUAUUCCUUCUAUGGAUGAUGAAUACAGACUUCCAAGAGAAUUGGCCGCCUGGUAGUCUGUUAUAUUGAUACAGAGACCAAACAUCUGGAUCUGAAGAUCUCCUCUGCUGAAGUGCCAUGAAGACCACAGCGACACUACAAAAACCUGUCAAGAACCAUGGGAGGAAACAGACAUCAUGUGUCAGAUGUGAUGACCUCACUCCACUCAAGAAAGAGAUUACUGUUUAGAGGGAACCCCUGUUACUGUCAAUGGUGUGCGUACUGGGAGCGGAGUCAGGUGCAGGAGAGCAGAGAGUUGUGAACAGGAGCACACUUAAUUUAGGCAGGAGAAACCAACAAACGGACGCCACUGCGUCGAAAACCUCCAGCCUAUAUGCCAAAGUGCAAACGCGCAAACAGUCACAAUAAUAUGUACUAGCAAAUAAAUAUACCUCGUGAAAUAAAACACGUAAUUAACGCACACCAGAAAUAGCGCGUCAAACAUGACACAUAACACGAAACAAUCUCACACAAAGACAUGAGAGGG
RNAcentral lists this long non-coding RNA (1319 nucleotides) under Salmo salar (Atlantic salmon). RNAcentral describes it as "lncRNA (ENSSSAG00000105374.1)". The record is from RNAcentral. Lineage: Eukaryota; Metazoa; Chordata; Actinopteri; Salmoniformes; Salmonidae.